GAACCUUCGCAGUACCCUUGUUCUUGAAGGAGCGCUCAAUGGGACGACCCCCGGGCAUCUUUUUCGAUGUCCUCUCCUCCUCCCUCCACUUGGUCUUUACCCGAUGCCUCCCCGCAAGGCGUCCACGUGACGAUCCACAGCCUUCGCGGUCAGAUCUCAGGCUCCGACCUCACCUCCAGUUUCCCAGCCUCCUCCUCCUCCGGCAAUGGCGGUCGGUGCGGAGCAAUU
Molecule: long non-coding RNA, 228 nt
Filed under: Elaeis guineensis (African oil palm)
Lineage: Eukaryota; Viridiplantae; Streptophyta; Magnoliopsida; Arecales; Arecaceae
Description: long non-coding RNA (EGUI_LNC060781)
Source: RNAcentral